Molecule: ribosomal RNA, 506 nt
Filed under: uncultured bacterium
Lineage: Bacteria
Description: partial 16S ribosomal RNA
Rfam family: Bacterial small subunit ribosomal RNA
Source: RNAcentral
AUUGAACGCUGGCGGCAGGCCUAACACAUGCAAGUCGAACGGUAGCACAGAGGAGCUUGCUCCUCGGGUGACGAGUGGCGGACGGGUGAGUAAUGUCUGGGGAUCUGCCCGAUAGAGGGGGAUAACCACUGGAAACGGUGGCUAAUACCGCAUAACGUCGCAAGACCAAAGAGGGGGACCUUCGGGCCUCCCACUAUCGGAUGAACCCAGAUGGGAUUAGCUAGUAGGCGGGGUAACGGCUCACCUAGGCGACGAUCCCUAGCUGGUCUGAGAGAAUGACCAGCCACGCUGGAACUGAGACACGGUCCAGACUCCUACGGGAGGCAGCAGUGGGGAAUAUUGCACAAUGGGCGCAAGCCUGAUGCAGCCAUGCCGCGUGUAUGAAGAAGGCCUUCGGGUUGUAAAGUACUUUCAGCGGGGAGGAAGGCGAUGUGGUUAAUAACCGCAUUGAUUGACGUUACCCGCAGAAGAAGCACCGGCUAACUCCGUGCCAGCCGCCGCCGUAA